RNAcentral lists this small nuclear RNA (103 nucleotides) under Castor canadensis (American beaver). The record is from RNAcentral. Lineage: Eukaryota; Metazoa; Chordata; Mammalia; Rodentia; Castoridae.
UUGCUUUGGCAACAGAUGUGCUCAAAUUGGAACCACACAGAAAAGAUUAUCAUGGUACCUGCAUAAGGAUAACACACAAGUUUGUGAAGUUUUACAUUUUUAA